Molecule: ribosomal RNA, 423 nt
Filed under: uncultured bacterium
Lineage: Bacteria
Description: bacterial SSU rRNA
Rfam family: Bacterial small subunit ribosomal RNA
Source: RNAcentral
AACGUGCCCUGUAGUGGGGGAUAACUAGUCGAAAGAUUAGCUAAUACCGCAUACGACCUGAGGGUGAAAGUGGGGGACCGCAAGGCCUCAUGCUAUAGGAGCGGCCGAUGUCUGAUUAGCUAGUUGGUGGGGUAAAGGCCCACCAAGGCGACGAUCAGUAGCUGGUCUGAGAGGACGAUCAGCCACACUGGGACCGAGACACGGCCCAGACUCCUACGGGAGGCAGCAGUGGGGAAUUUUGGACAAUGGGCGAAAGCCUGAUCCAGCAAUGCCGCGUGUGUGAAGAAGGCCUUCGGGUUGUAAAGCACUUUUGUCCGGAAAGAAAUGGCUCUGGUUAAUACCUGGGGUCGAUGACGGUACCGGAAGAAUAAGGACCGGCUAACUACGUGCCAGCAGCCGCGGUAAUACGUAGGGUCCAAGCGU